Molecule: unclassified non-coding RNA, 246 nt
Filed under: Hevea brasiliensis (rubber tree)
Lineage: Eukaryota; Viridiplantae; Streptophyta; Magnoliopsida; Malpighiales; Euphorbiaceae
Source: RNAcentral
GCUGCUCAGCAAUUCAAGAUGCCAGACAUGGGGCAUGUGAUGGGAAAACCAGACAUUUCUGGUACUGUUGAAGCCGGAGCAUUGGGUGAUGAGGAAGAGGAAGAAGAGAUCGAUGAAUCUGGGGUGGAGGCUAGGGACAUUGAUUUGGUAAUGACACAGGCUGGGGUCUCCAGGACCAAGGCCGUAAAAGCUCUCAAGACUCACGACGGGGAUAUUGUAAGUGCCAUUAUGGAGCUCACAACUUGA